Molecule: ribosomal RNA, 441 nt
Filed under: uncultured bacterium
Lineage: Bacteria
Description: partial 16S ribosomal RNA
Rfam family: Bacterial small subunit ribosomal RNA
Source: RNAcentral
CCUACGGGUAGCAGCAGUAGGGAAUUUUGCGCAAUGGGCGAAAGCCUGACGCAGCAACGCCGCGUGAUUGAUUAAGCCCUUCGGAGUGUAAAGAUCUGUCAGUGGGGACGAAACUUGACGGUACCCCCAGAUGAAGCACCGGCUAACUCAGUGCCAUCAGCCGCGGUAAUCCGGAGGGUGCAAGCGUUGUCCGGAAUCAUUGGGCGUAAAGAGUUCGUAGGUGGCAUAUUAAUUCUGGUGUUAAAUGCAUAAGCUUAACUUCUGUUCGGCACUGGCUCCGGGUAAGCUUGAGUGCGGUAGAGGUAAAGGGAAUUCUGGGUGUAGCGGGGAAAUGCGUAGAGAUCAGGAGGAACAUCGGUGGCGAAAGCGCUUUACUGGGCCGUAAUUGACGCUGAGGAACGAAAGCGGGGGUAGCAAAUGGGAUUAGAUACCCGUGUAGUC